UGCGGUCAUACUGCUGGGAUCCUGGCAGAGACAACCUACCUUCCAUAGAGGGGACACGUCACCCCAGGAUUCUGCCACAGGACUUUUGGAGAAUGAGUGACCUGGAAGACGAUGCCAAAGACACUUCCUCCUGCCCCGUUCUUAGCAGAUGAUGUGGCUUCCUCCUUCUGUGACGCACUGCAGCAGCCCCUCCUCGAGGUCCAGAGCCCUAGGCCUUCCAUGCUCCCAGGCUCAGUACUAGACUCCUGGUCACCCCAACAUCUUUAUUUUUGCCUCCCUGCUCUGGGGGUUGUAGCUUCUUCCUUCACCAACUCUGUUACUUCAGUAUCCCUUUUGCACUUUCAGCCCUCAAACCCCAAGUAAAUACGCUUUCACUUCCCUUUCUUGAGAUACUA
This 395-nucleotide long non-coding RNA is filed under the name Homo sapiens (human). RNAcentral describes it as "HSALNT0287669". Lineage: Eukaryota; Metazoa; Chordata; Mammalia; Primates; Hominidae. The record is from RNAcentral.